RNAcentral lists this ribosomal RNA (2786 nucleotides) under Shigella dysenteriae 4. Its description in RNAcentral is "bacterial LSU rRNA". It matches the Rfam family "Bacterial large subunit ribosomal RNA". Lineage: Bacteria; Pseudomonadati; Pseudomonadota; Gammaproteobacteria; Enterobacterales; Enterobacteriaceae. The record is from RNAcentral.
AGCGUACACGGUGGAUGCCCUGGCAGUCAGAGGCGAUGAAGGACGUGCUAAUCUGCGAUAAGCGUCGGUAAGGUGAUAUGAACCGUUAUAACCGGCGAUUUCCGAAUGGGGAAACCCAGUGUGAUUCGUCACACUAUCAUUAACUGAAUCCAUAGGUUAAUGAGGCGAACCGGGGGAACUGAAACAUCUAAGUACCCCGAGGAAAAGAAAUCAACCGAGAUUCCCCCAGUAGCGGCGAGCGAACGGGGAGCAGCCCAGAGCCUGAAUCAGUGUGUGUGUUAGUGGAAGCGUCUGGAAAGGCGUGCGAUACAGGGUGACAGCCCCGUACACAAAAAUGCACAUAUUGUGAGCUCGAUGAGUAGGACGGGACACGUGGUAUCCUGUCUGAAUAUGGGGGGACCAUCCUCCAAGGCUAAAUACUCCUGACUGACCGAUAGUGAACCAGUACCGUGAGGGAAAGGCGAAAAGAACCCCGGCGAGGGGAGUGAAAAAGAACCUGAAACCGUGUACGUACAAGCAGUGGGAGCACGCUUAGGCGUGUGACUGCGUACCUUUUGUAUAAUGGGUCAGCGACUUAUAUUCUGUAGCAAGGUUAACCGAAUAGGGGAGCCGAAGGGAAACCGAGUCUUAACUGGGCGUUAAGUUGCAGGGUAUAGACCCGAAACCCGGUGAUCUAGCCAUGGGCAGGUUGAAGGUUGGGUAACACUAACUGGAGGACCGAACCGACUAAUGUUGAAAAAUUAGCGGAUGACUUGUGGCUGGGGGUGAAAGGCCAAUCAAACCGGGAGAUAGCUGGUUCUCCCCGAAAGCUAUUUAGGUAGCGCCUCGUGAAUUCAUCUCCGGGGGUAGAGCACUGUUUCGGCAAGGGGGUCAUCCCGACUUACCAACCCGAUGCAAACUGCGAAUACCGGAGAAUGUUAUCACGGGAGACACACGGCGGGUGCUAACGUCCGUCGUGAAGAGGGAAACAACCCAGACCGCCAGCUAAGGUCCCAAAGUCAUGGUUAAGUGGGAAACGAUGUGGGAAGGCCCAGACAGCCAGGAUGUUGGCUUAGAAGCAGCCAUCAUUUAAAGAAAGCGUAAUAGCUCACUGGUCGAGUCGGCCUGCGCGGAAGAUGUAACGGGGCUAAACCAUGCACCGAAGCUGCGGCAGCGACACUAUGUGUUGUUGGGUAGGGGAGCGUUCUGUAAGCCUGUGAAGGUGUACUGUGAGGUAUGCUGGAGGUAUCAGAAGUGCGAAUGCUGACAUAAGUAACGAUAAAGCGGGUGAAAAGCCCGCUCGCCGGAAGACCAAGGGUUCCUGUCCAACGUUAAUCGGGGCAGGGUGAGUCGACUCCUAAGGCGAGGCCGAAAGGCGUAGUCGAUGGGAAACAGGUUAAUAUUCCUGUACUUGGUGUUACUGCGAAGGGGGGACGGAGAAGGCUAUGUUGGCCGGGCGACGGUUGUCCCGGUUUAAGCGUGUAGGCUGGUUUUCCAGGCAAAUCCGGAAAACUAAGGCUGAGGCGUGAUGACGAGGCACUACGGUGCUGAAGCAACAAAUGCCCUGCUUCCAGGAAAAGCCUCUAAGCAUCAGGUAACAUCAAAUCGUACCCCAAACCGACACAGGUGGUCAGGUAGAGAAUACCAAGGCGCUUGAGAGAACUCGGGUGAAGGAACUAGGCAAAAUGGUGCCGUAACUUCGGGAGAAGGCACGCUGAUAUGUAGGUGAAGUCCCUCGCGGAUGGAGCUGAAAUCAGUCGAAGAUACCAGCUGGCUGCAACUGUUUAUUAAAAACACAGCACUGUGCAAACACGAAAGUGGACGUAUACGGUGUGACGCCUGCCCGGUGCCGGAAGGUUAAUUGAUGGGGUCAGCGCAAGCGAAGCUCUUGAUCGAAGCCCCGGUAAACGGCGGCCGUAACUAUAACGGUCCUAAGGUAGCGAAAUUCCUUGUCGGGUAAGUUCCGACCUGCACGAAUGGCGUAAUGAUGGCCAGGCUGUCUCCACCCGAGACUCAGUGAAAUUGAACUCGCUGUGAAGAUGCAGUGUACCCGCGGCAAGACGGAAAGACCCCGUGAACCUUUACUAUAGCUUGACACUGAACAUUGAGCCUUGAUGUGUAGGAUAGGUGGGAGGCUUUGAAGUGUGGACGCCAGUCUGCAUGGAGCCGACCUUGAAAUACCACCCUUUAAUGUUUGAUGUUCUAACGUUGACCCGUAAUCCGGGUUGCGGACAGUGUCUGGUGGGUAGUUUGACUGGGGCGGUCUCCUCCUAAAGAGUAACGGAGGAGCACGAAGGUUGGCUAAUCCUGGUCGGACAUCAGGAGGUUAGUGCAAUGGCAUAAGCCAGCUUGACUGCGAGCGUGACGGCGCGAGCAGGUGCGAAAGCAGGUCAUAGUGAUCCGGUGGUUCUGAAUGGAAGGGCCAUCGCUCAACGGAUAAAAGGUACUCCGGGGAUAACAGGCUGAUACCGCCCAAGAGUUCAUAUCGACGGCGGUGUUUGGCACCUCGAUGUCGGCUCAUCACAUCCUGGGGCUGAAGUAGGUCCCAAGGGUAUGGCUGUUCGCCAUUUAAAGUGGUACGCGAGCUGGGUUUAGAACGUCGUGAGACAGUUCGGUCCCUAUCUGCCGUGGGCGCUGGAGAACUGAGGGGGGCUGCUCCUAGUACGAGAGGACCGGAGUGGACGCAUCACUGGUGUUCGGGUUGUCAUGCCAAUGGCACUGCCCGGUAGCUAAAUGCGGAAGAGAUAAGUGCUGAAAGCAUCUAAGCACGAAACUUGCCCCGAGAUGAGUUCUCCCUGACUCCUUGA